This 440-nucleotide ribosomal RNA is filed under the name uncultured bacterium. RNAcentral's name for it is "partial 16S ribosomal RNA". It matches the Rfam family "Bacterial small subunit ribosomal RNA", at positions 338 to 795 of the family's 1533-position model. The record is from RNAcentral.
CCUACGGGGGGCAGCAGUAGGGAAUAUUGCUCAAUGGGGGAAACCCUGAAGCAGCAACGCCGCGUGGAGGAUGAAGGUUUUCGGAUUGUAAACUCCUUUUGUUAGAGAAGAUAAUGACGGUAUCUAACGAAUAAGCACCGGCUAAAUCCGUGCCAGCAGCCGCGGUAAUACGGAGGGUGCAAGCGUUACUCGGAAUCACUGGGCGUAAAGCGCGCGUAGGCGGGAUAGCAAGUCAGAUGUGAAAUCCUAUGGCUUAACCAUAGAACUGCAUUUGAAACUGUUAUUCUAGAGUAUGGGAGAGGUAGGUGGAAUGCUUGGUGUAGGGGUAAAAUCCGUAGAGAUCAAGAGGAAUACUCAUUGCGAAGGCGACCUGCUAGAACAUAACUGACGCUGAUGCGCGAAAGCGUGGGGAGCAAACAGGAUUAGAUACCCUAGUAGUC